CUCAGUAACGGCGAGUGAAGCGGCAACAGCUCAAAUUUGAAAGCUGGCCUUUUCAAGGCCCGCGUUGUAAUUUGUAGAGGAUGUUUUGGGCGCGGCGCUGGUCUAAGUUCUUUGGAACAAGACGUCAUAGAGGGUGAGAAUCCCGUAUGUGACUGGUAGCCUGUACCUAUGUGAAACUCCUUCGACGAGUCGAGUUGUUUGGGAAUGCAGCUCAAAAUGGGAGGUGUAUUUCUUCUAAAGCUAAAUAUUGGCCAGAGACCGAUAGCGCACAAGUAGAGUGAUCGAAAGAUGAAAAGCACUUUGGAAAGAGAGUUAAACAGUACGUGAAAUUGUUGAAAGGGAAGCGCUUACAAUCAGACUUGCGCGGCGUCGAUCAGCCUGGGUUUUCCCUGGUGUACUCGGCGUCGCUCAGGCCAGCAUCAGUUUCGGCGGUGGGAUAAAGGUUCAGGGAAUGUGGGUGACUUCGGACACCGUUAUAGCCCUGGGCGCAAUGCCGCCUGCCGGGACUGAGGACCGCGCUUCGGCUAGGAUGCUGGCGUAAUGGUUGUAAGCGACCCGUCUUGAAACACGGACCAAGGAGUCAAACAAUUGUGCGAGUGUUUGGAUGUAAAAUCCAUACGCGUAAUGAAAGUGAACGGAGGUGAGAACCCUUAAGGGUGCAUCAUCGACCGGUCCUGAUGUCUUCGGAUGGAUCUGAGUAAGAGCAUAGCUGUUUGGACCCGAAAGAUGGUGAACUAUGCCUGAAUAGGGUGAAGCCAGG
RNAcentral lists this ribosomal RNA (760 nucleotides) under Rhytisma filamentosum. Its description in RNAcentral is "partial large subunit ribosomal RNA". It matches the Rfam family "Eukaryotic large subunit ribosomal RNA", at positions 79 to 856 of the family's 3401-position model. The record is from RNAcentral. Lineage: Eukaryota; Fungi; Ascomycota; Leotiomycetes; Rhytismatales; Rhytismataceae.